Aedes aegypti (yellow fever mosquito) is the source of this 376-nucleotide long non-coding RNA. RefSeq lists it as uncharacterized. The transcript has 2 exons. The record is from RefSeq and is a predicted model, not a curated record. NCBI's taxonomy places the organism in Eukaryota, Metazoa, Arthropoda, Insecta, Diptera, Culicidae.
CCAAGUCCUGGUUUUGAUCGAACAACCGCAAGAAAAAAGUGUAUAUACAUCUUUCCGGAAAAGCUACUGGCUCGGGCAAACAUCCGGAUCAACAUCCAGCGAAUGAAUAUUCACCGGAAGAACAUUGAGUGGUAAAAUGCGCAGCAAAAUCGUUAAUUUUUGGUAAACACGGUCCGCAGUUUACUACGAACCUUCAGGUUUCUUCCUGCUGAAAGUUGCCGUGUGACGUCAUCGUAAAUUGAUCCCCCUCCGGGGAUCCAUUCCAGAGAAGCGAGAAAAAAAUGGACCCAAACAUCACAAUUGUAUUACUUGUAAUAUAAUGUACUAUUCAUAUAUUUAUGUAUGAGAUAAUAAAAUACAUGUUAUGUCUUUCGAA